UACACGUUAUUGCACUCCCUCUCGUGUAUUAUUGCUUAAUUAAUGACCAAUCUAAGGUGCCAGUUUGGGUGCUUAACAUUGUGCAUUUUCUGAAUCAGCCACACACUUCUAAUAAAAAAGCAAAAGAUAUUUUAUUUUAUUAUGAGAAAGGCAAUAGCCAAUAGACAACUGAGAAUGUAAAUGUAAAAAGCAUUUUGCAAACAAAUAAUAUCAAAGUAACAAUUACAUCCACAUAGUGCUCACAUUAAAAAUUAGGGAAAAGGACAGAGGUGUCCUAAUAUCACACAAAUGGCACCCAAAUAUUUAAAUAAAUAAAAAGAACACUCAAACCACAUGGCAACAGUGUUCUUAUAAGCUUUUAUUAUUUAACUUUAUUAAUUAUUUACAUUAAAUCCAAUCUUUUGGACACCUUGCAAUACACAUUUUAAAAAACAUUAAGGAGUCUAAUUACCCUAUAUGCUAUAAAUGCUCCCAAGUGUUCACUAGGAGAGAGAAAACUAGCCCAAAUUUUCUUCUGAUACGUUAGACUUUGCAUCUUUUGCAGCAUCACCAGCUAAUCAGCAUACUCUGAGGAAAGUGCAGCGACCCAGCUCUGAUACACCAGCUAAGAGAUGUCUGUGCUGACCAGCAUUACACUAGGAAUGAUGUAGGAACAAGACGCCAUCUACACACCCAGAGAGAUCAAGAAUCUGCCCUCUCCCUACAGACCCCCGCGUCCUUUUCUGACUCCCAGCUCGCAUUCAGCACAUUCCUUUCCAGCAUGCCGCUGUACGCUGACAGCGCUGCCAUUGUCUCGGCCCUCCCCUGAGCUCCCCUUCAUACUUCAAGGAGGAACGUGUCUGUUGGUGACCUAUUAAAACCAACAGCCGGCCCGGGGCCUGCAGCUCAUUGUGAGGAAGAGGGGUCUGAGUGUGUCUCUGCCACACACACCUCGUCUGAGUCGGGGCAGCUUGAGUCGGGACGGAAUGAAGGGUCUGCUUUUGUCUGAUUUUGCUCUGCUAGGGGUUCUCAGCUCAUUGUUUCACGGUAGCUCCUAUCUGCACAAAGAGGACAUUGUGGAGCAGUGCGUGGGGGGCCUCGUCAGCCCCCUGGUUUGCCAAAGCUUCAGUAGCAUCUUUGUCUUGUCUGGGAGUUCAAUGCUAAAUCUGAUGCAGUACAUUCCAGAUCAGAUUUGAACUAUGUUUAGUUUUUGUCCCUUUGUGUUUGCAUUAUCAUGUUUUCAGUUUUGAUUGUUAUGAUGUCAUAUAUUUUACCUGUAUUCAUACAGCUCUGGAAUAAAUAAAACACCUAAAAAUGA
Molecule: long non-coding RNA, 1297 nt
Organism: Astyanax mexicanus (Mexican tetra)
Lineage: Eukaryota; Metazoa; Chordata; Actinopteri; Characiformes; Acestrorhamphidae
Exons: 2
Source: RefSeq, a predicted model, not a curated record